CCUACGGGUGGCAGCAGUGGGGAAUAUUGGACAAUGGGGGCAACCCUGAUCCAGCCAUGCCGCGUGUGUGAAGAAGGCCCUCGGGUUGUAAAGCACUUUCAGUGAGGAAGAACGCCUGGUGGUUAAUACCCAUCAGGAAAGACAUCACUCACAGAAGAAGCACCGGCUAACUCCGUGCCAGCAGCCGCGGUAAUACGGAGGGUGCGAGCGUUAAUCGGAAUUACUGGGCGUAAAGCGCGCGUAGGUGGCUUGAUAAGCCGGUUGUGAAAGCCCCGGGCUCAACCUGGGAACGGCAUCCGGAACUGUCAAGCUAGAGUGCAGGAGAGGAAGGUAGAAUUCCCGGUGUAGCGGUGAAAUGCGUAGAGAUCGGGAGGAAUACCAGUGGCGAAGGCGGCCUUAUGGACUGACACUGACACUGAGGUGCGAAAGCGUGGGUAGCAAACAGGAUUAGAUACCCUGGUAGUC
RNAcentral lists this ribosomal RNA (465 nucleotides) under Vreelandella stevensii. Its description in RNAcentral is "partial 16S ribosomal RNA". It matches the Rfam family "Bacterial small subunit ribosomal RNA", at positions 338 to 795 of the family's 1533-position model. Lineage: Bacteria; Pseudomonadati; Pseudomonadota; Gammaproteobacteria; Oceanospirillales; Halomonadaceae. The record is from RNAcentral.